This 466-nucleotide ribosomal RNA is filed under the name uncultured bacterium. RNAcentral's name for it is "bacterial SSU rRNA". It matches the Rfam family "Bacterial small subunit ribosomal RNA", at positions 330 to 794 of the family's 1533-position model. The record is from RNAcentral.
UCCAGACUCCUACGGGAGGCAGCAGUGAGGAAUAUUGGUCAAUGGCCGCAGGGCUGAACCAGCCAAGUCGCGUGAGGGAUGACGGUCCUAUGGAUUGUAAACCUCUUUUGUCAGGGAGCAAAGGGCGCCACGUGUGGCGUUUUGCGAGUACCUGAAGAAAAAGCAUCGGCUAACUCCGUGCCAGCAGCCGCGGUAAUACGGAGGAUGCGAGCGUUAUCCGGAUUUAUUGGGUUUAAAGGGUGCGCAGGCGGAAUGUCAAGUCAGCGGUAAAAUUUCGGGGCUCAACCCCGUCGUGCCGUUGAAACUGCAUCCCUUGAGUGCGCGAGAAGUAUGCGGAAUGCGUGGUGUAGCGGUGAAAUGCAUAGAUAUCACGCAGAACUCCGAUUGCGAAGGCAGCAUACCGGCGCGCAACUGACGCUCAUGCACGAAAGCGUGGGUAUCGAACAGGAUUAGAUACCCUCGUAGG